ACGUACACUCCUGCGGGAGGCAGCAGUGGGGAAUUUUGGACAAUGGGCGAAAGCCUGAUCCAGCCAUGCCGCGUGCAGGAUGAAGGCCUUCGGGUUGUAAACUGCUUUUGUACGGAACGAAACGGCCUUUUCUAAUAAAGAGGGCUAAUGACGGUACCGUAAGAAUAAGCACCGGCUAACUACGUGCCAGCAGCCGCGGUAAUACGUAGGGUGCAAGCGUUAAUCGGAAUUACUGGGCGUAAAGCGUGCGCAGGCGGUUAUGUAAGACAGUUGUGAAAUCCCCGGGCUCAACCUGGGAACUGCAUCUGUGACUGCAUAGCUAGAGUACGGUAGAGGGGGAUGGAAUUCCGCGUGUAGCAGUGAAAUGCGUAGAUAUGCGGAGGAACACCGAUGGCGAAGGCAAUCCCCUGGACCUGUACUGACGCUCAUGCACGAAAGCGUGGGGAGCAAACAGGAUUAGAUACCCUAGUAGUCCCAUGAU
This 481-nucleotide ribosomal RNA is filed under the name uncultured organism. RNAcentral's name for it is "partial 16S ribosomal RNA". It matches the Rfam family "Bacterial small subunit ribosomal RNA", at positions 329 to 801 of the family's 1533-position model. The record is from RNAcentral.